Molecule: long non-coding RNA, 1350 nt
Organism: Homo sapiens (human)
Lineage: Eukaryota; Metazoa; Chordata; Mammalia; Primates; Hominidae
Source: Ensembl
GCACACCGAGCGGCAGGGCGGCAGCGGCUUCUUGUAGUCCUCUAGGCAGAUGGGCGUGUACAUGCUGCACAGGAAGAACUUGAGAUCGGGCGAGCACUGGAUCUCCACCAGCGGCCAGAACUGGUGCACCUCCAGGCCCGCCUCGUCUUGCGUGUCGUGGUUGAACUGAUUGGGCAUGUAGGUGUAGUUGUAGCCGAUGCCCUUACACAGCGGCACGGUGAUCUCUUGGCAUGCCAGCUCCUUGGCCGAGGCGGCCGCAGCGCCGCUAGAGCGCUGCAGCAGCGCCAAGGCGGCCAGCAGCGAGGUCACUUCCAACAGAAAUUCACUAUCUCUGCGGUUGGCACCUUGUUUCCAGAGGGCGAGUCUCCAGAACGCAUCAGCUGCAGAUGAAAAGUUUGAUGAUGUGGAAUGUGGAAAUUUUGGGAAAGAGAUCCUGUUGGAAGGAAGUACUCUUUGCUGUGUCUGCUGUCACCAGGCCAAGGUGCACAUGGAUGGAGAUAACAGGCCCACCUGUGCCACUGGCUGGCAGGCCCAUGCUCACUUUACAUGCAGCUGCUGCUUUGGAAUACGGCGACCGCACUGCCAUUAUUUAAGUUGAUAAUUAUUCUAAAAUUUGUUUUAAAAAUCAAUAAUUGAUUUUUUUUCUCAUCCACAUGGGAAUAUUUGCCAGAUAUUGAAGCUCUUAUUAUGGCAUGCAUUGUGCAUUAGUUUGGUAGAUUUCAGGUCCAGUAAAGACCUCCCGGGUAAAAGUGGCUUAGCCAAGAAGGACAUCUCAACAUAUCAAUAAGUCUAGAAGCAGACAUUUCACCGUCAGUUCUUUCUGCAGCUCCAGGAGGUUAGGGCUGCAGGUUGGCUUCUAGACUGUUGGUUUCCCCUUUGGUUACAGGGGGCCUCCCACCACUGAAUUGUCACAUUGGACUGUGGCCAGGGCUGGAGGACUGCUAUGAUAUUUUUCUUCCCUUAGGAAUGACAGCCUUUCCCUGAAGGCCCUUGGCUAACUUCCCCUUUGGGCAACCUGGUCUGAAUCUGUCACUUGGCCACUCUUAGCUGCAAGAGAGGCUGUGAAAGUGAGGAUCUGGAGAGUGGCUGUUGAUGGGGACACUGGUAGCCAGGAAGGGGAGGAGGGACAACCCACAGUGUCAGAUGCACAUUACUGUGUGAAAGCAGUGAACUUCCAAGCAAUACCAUUGAGUCAACUUCCCUGGUCUUACAGCGGAAUUUAUGCAGGGUUAUAAAUUAAGCAUGAUCUAGAUCCAAGAAAACCUUGAGAUCUACAUUUUUUUUUUGAAGUUCACACAAUACAGUUCUUUGUACAUUUAGUAUGAAAUAAACGUCAAGCAGUUUACAGCG